AUGGUGAAGGCGAAGGCCAGAGACAAUGGAUCUGGUCGUAUUGAACACCUGGUCACCAAGGCUGCUUUUAACUCUGGUAAAGUGGAUAUUGUCACCAUCAGUGACCCCUUCAUUGACCUCAACUACAUGGUCUACAUGUUCCAGUAUGAUUCCACCCAUGGCAAAUUCCAUGGCACCGUCAAAACUGAGAACGGGAAGCUUGUCAUCAGUGGACAUCCCAUCACCAUCUUCCAGGAGCGAGAUCCCUCCAAAAUCAAAUGGGGCAAUGCUGGCACUCAGUACACUGUGGAGUCCAUUGGUGUCUUCACCACCAUGGAGAAGGUUGGAGCUCACUUGCGGGGAGGAGCCAAAAGGGUCAUCAUCUCUGCCCCCUCUGCUAAUGCCCCCAAGUUUGUGAUGGAAGUGAACCAUAAGACGUAUGACAACAGCCUCAAGAUCGUCAGCAAUGCCUCCCGCACCACCAACUGCUUAGCGCCCCUGACCAAGGUCAUCCAUGACAACUUUGGUAUCAUGGAAGGACUCAUGACCACAGUCCACGCUAUCACUGCCACCCAGAAGAUUGUAGAUGGCCCCACGGCGUAAUGGCCGUGGGGCUGUCCAGAACAUCAUCCCUGCCUCUGCUGGCAUUGCCAAGGCUGUGGGCAAGGUCAUCCCUGAGCUGAAUGGGACGUUCACCUGCAUGGGAUUCCAUGUCCCCACUGCUAAUGUGUUGGUCAUGGACCUGACCUGCCGUCUGGAGCCUGCCACAUACAAUGACAUCAAGAAGGUGGCAAAGCGGGUGUCGGAGUGCCCCCUCAAGGGCAUCCUGGGCUACACUGAGCACCAGGUUGUCUCCUCCGACUUCAACAGUAACCCCCACUCUUCCACCUUUGAUGCUGGGGCUGGUAUUGCCCUCAACGGCCACUUUGUCAAGCUCAUUUCCUGGUAUGACAAUGCAUUUGGCUACAGCAACAGGGUGGUGAACUUCAUGGCCCACAUGGCCUCCAAGGAGUUAAGACCCCCUGACCACCAGCCCCAGUGA
Molecule: RNA transcript, 1021 nt
Organism: Rhinopithecus roxellana (golden snub-nosed monkey)
Lineage: Eukaryota; Metazoa; Chordata; Mammalia; Primates; Cercopithecidae
Gene name: glyceraldehyde-3-phosphate dehydrogenase pseudogene
Exons: 1
Source: RefSeq, a predicted model, not a curated record